RNAcentral lists this ribosomal RNA (416 nucleotides) under uncultured bacterium. RNAcentral's name for it is "bacterial SSU rRNA". It matches the Rfam family "Bacterial small subunit ribosomal RNA", at positions 355 to 774 of the family's 1533-position model. The record is from RNAcentral.
UGGGGAAUAUUGCGCAAUGGGCGAAAGCCUGACGCAGCGACGCCGCGUGUGGGAUGACGGCCUUCGGGUUGUAAACCACUGUCGGGAGGGACGAAUGCGCCGCAAGGCGAGUGACGGUACCUCCAAAGGAAGCACCGGCUAACUCCGUGCCAGCAGCCGCGGUAAUACGGAGGGUGCGAGCGUUGUCCGGAAUCACUGGGCGUAAAGGGCGCGUAGGCGGCCUGGUAAGUAGGGGGUGAAAUCCUGCGGCUUAACCGCAGGGCUGCCUUCUAAACUGUCAGGCUCGAGCACGGUAGAGGCAGAUGGAAUUCCCGGUGUAGCGGUGGAAUGCGUAGAGAUCGGGAAGAACAUCAGUGGCGAAGGCGGUCUGCUGGGCCGUUGCUGACGCUGAGGCGCGACAGCGUGGGGAGCAAACA